RNAcentral lists this ribosomal RNA (483 nucleotides) under uncultured bacterium. Its description in RNAcentral is "partial 16S ribosomal RNA". It matches the Rfam family "Bacterial small subunit ribosomal RNA", at positions 28 to 507 of the family's 1533-position model. The record is from RNAcentral.
GAUGAACGCUAGCGGCAGGCCUAAUACAUGCAAGCCGAACGGCAAGUUUGAUAGCAAUAUUGGACCUAGAGUGGCGCAAGGGUGCGUAACACGUAUGCAACCUGCCCGCGACAGGAGGAUAGCUCCCCGAAAGGGGAAUUAACCCUCCAUAACACCAUGAGAAGGCAUCUGAUUAUGGUUAAACCGCAAGGGGUCGCGGAUGGGCAUGCGGUUGAUUAGCUAGUUGGCGGGGUAAAGGCCCACCAAGGCGGUGAUCAAUAGGGGUUCUGAGAGGAAGGUCCCCCACACUGGCACUGGGAUACGGGCCAGACGCCUGCGGGAGGCAGCAGUAGGGAAUAUUAGACAAUGGGUGCAAGACUGAACCAGCCAGGCCGCGUGCAGGAAGAAGGCAUUCUGGGUCGUAAACUGCUUUUUCCUGUGGAUAAAAUACCCGUGCGCGGGGAAUUGAAGGUAACAGGGGAAUAAGCCACGGCUAACUACGUG